Molecule: ribosomal RNA, 432 nt
Filed under: uncultured bacterium
Lineage: Bacteria
Description: partial 16S ribosomal RNA
Rfam family: Bacterial small subunit ribosomal RNA
Source: RNAcentral
AACGAACGCUGGCGGCAUGCCUAACACAUGCAAGUCGAACGAGACCUUCGGGUCUAGUGGCGCACGGGUGCGUAACGCGUGGGAACCUGCCUUUAGGUUCGGAAUAACUCAGAGAAAUUUGAGCUAAUACCGGAUGAUGUCUUCGGACCAAAGAUUUAUCGCCUUUAGAUGGGCCCGCGUUGGAUUAGCUAGUUGGUGGGGUAAAGGCCUACCAAGGCGACGAUCCAUAGCUGGUCUGAGAGGAUGAUCAGCCACACUGGGACUGAGACACGGCCCAGACUCCUCCGGGAGGCAGCAGGGGGGAAUAUUGGACAAUGGGCGAAAGCCUGAUCCACCAAGGCCGGGGGAGUGAUGAAGGCCUUAGGUUUGUAAAGCUCUUUUACCCGAGAUGAUAAUGACAGUAUCGGGAAAAUAAGUCCCGGCUACCUCCGU